Mesocricetus auratus (golden hamster) is the source of this 304-nucleotide unclassified non-coding RNA. Its record names the gene 7SK. It matches the Rfam family "7SK RNA". Rfam says of the family: 7SK was discovered as an abundant small nuclear RNA in the mid-70s but a possible function has only recently been suggested. Two independent studies have found that 7SK RNA binds the CDK9/cyclin T complex (known as elongation factor P-TEFb). P-TEFb activates transcription by phosphorylating the C-terminal domain of RNA polymerase II. The record is from Ensembl. NCBI's taxonomy places the organism in Eukaryota, Metazoa, Chordata, Mammalia, Rodentia, Cricetidae.
GGAUGUGGUUCUGACUCUGACAUCUGUCACUCCACUGACCACUGGGGUUAAUUUUUCUGAUCUGGGUGGCUAGGUGGGUGUUCCUCCUCCCUCACUGUUCCAUGGACAUCCUUCCUGAAGCUUCAUUCCAGUUUGAGAGGAUGACCUUCCCUGAAUAAAGGAGGACUGGUCUUUGGUCAAGGGUGUAAAAGUAGCUGUGCUCCCCUGCUAGAACCUCAAGAUAAAUUCUGAAGAUUACUCUUUUAUUUUAUCAUUAAGUAAUACCUCUGUAAUAGGUUAUAUAAAUAUGUAAUAAUUUAUCUAC